Molecule: ribosomal RNA, 493 nt
Filed under: uncultured bacterium
Lineage: Bacteria
Description: partial 16S ribosomal RNA
Rfam family: Bacterial small subunit ribosomal RNA
Source: RNAcentral
AGUGAACGCUGGCGGUAGGCCUAACACAUGCAAGUCGAACGGCAGCACAGUAAGAGCUUGCUCUUACGGGUGGCGAGUGGCGGACGGGUGAGGAAUACAUCGGAAUCUACUUUUUCGUGGGGGGAUAACGUAGGGAAACUUACGCUAAUACCGCAUACGACCUACGGGUGAAAGCAGGGGAUCUUCGGACCUUGCGCGAUUGAAUGAGCCGAUGUCGGAUUAGCUAGUUGGCGGGGUAAAGGCCCACCAAGGCGACGAUCCGUAGCUGGUCUGAGAGGAUGAUCAGCCACACUGGAACUGAGACACGGUCCAGACUCCUACGGGAGGCAGCAGUGGGGAAUAUUGGACAAUGGGCGCAAGCCUGAUCCAGCCAUACCGCGUGGGUGAAGAAGGCCUUCGGGUUGUAAAGCCCUUUUGUUGGGAAAGAAAAGCAGCAGGUUAAUACCCCGCUGUUCUGACGGUACCCAAAGAAUAAGCACCGGCUAACUUCGUG